This 490-nucleotide ribosomal RNA is filed under the name uncultured bacterium. RNAcentral describes it as "partial 16S ribosomal RNA". It matches the Rfam family "Bacterial small subunit ribosomal RNA", at positions 30 to 507 of the family's 1533-position model. The record is from RNAcentral.
AUUGAACGCUGGCGGCAGGCCUAACACAUGCAAGUCGAACGGUAACAGGAAGAAGCUUGCUUCUUUGCUGACGCGUGGCGGACGGGUGUGUCAUGUCUGGGAAACUGCCUGAUGGAGGGGGAUAACUACUGGAAACGGUAGCUAAUACCGCAUAACGUCGCAAGCCCAAAAAGGGGGACUUUCGGGCCUCUUGCCAUCGGCUGUGCCCUGAUGGGAUUAGCUAGUAGGUGGGGUAACGGCUCACCUAGGCGACGAUCCCUAGCUGGUCUGAGAGGAUGACCAGCCACACUGGAACUGAGACACGGUCCAGACUCCUACGGGAGGCAGCAGUGGGGAAUAUUGCACAAUGGGCGAAAGCCUGAUGCAGCAAAGCCGCGUGUAUAAAGAAGGCCUUCGGGUUGUAAAGUACUGUCAGCGGGGAAGAAGGGAGUAAAGUUAAUACCUUUGCACAUUGACGUUACCCGCAGAAGAAGCAACGGCUAACUCCGUG